RNAcentral lists this ribosomal RNA (403 nucleotides) under bacterium. RNAcentral's name for it is "partial 16S ribosomal RNA". It matches the Rfam family "Bacterial small subunit ribosomal RNA", at positions 355 to 776 of the family's 1533-position model. The record is from RNAcentral.
UGGGGAAUAUUGCACAAUGGGGGAAACCCUGAUGCAGCGACGCCGCGUGAACGAAGAAGGUAUUCGUAUCGUAAAGUUCUGUCCUAUGGGAAGAUAAUGACAGUACCAUAGAAGAAAGCUCCGGCUAAAUAGGUGCCAGCAGCCGCGGUAAUACGUAUGGAGCGAGCGUUGUCCGGAAUUAUUGGGCGUAAAGGGUACGCAGGCGGUUUAAUAAGUCGAAUGUUAAAGAUCGGGGCUCAACCCCGCAAAGCAUUGGAAACUGAUAAACUUGAGUAGUGGAGAGGAAAGUGGAAUUCCUAGUGUAGUGGUGAAAUACGUAGAUAUUAGGAGGAAUACCAGUAGCGAAGGCGACUUUCUGGACACAAACUGACGCUGAGGUACGAAAGCGUGGGGAGCAAACAGG